RNAcentral lists this ribosomal RNA (253 nucleotides) under uncultured bacterium. RNAcentral describes it as "partial 16S ribosomal RNA". It matches the Rfam family "Bacterial small subunit ribosomal RNA", at positions 524 to 776 of the family's 1533-position model. The record is from RNAcentral.
UACGAAGGGGCCUAGCGUUGUUCGGAAUUACUGGGCGUAAAGCGCACGUAGGCGGCUUUGUAAGUUAGAGGUGAAAGCCCGGGGCUCAACUCCGGAAUUGCCUUUAAGACUGCAUCGCUAGAAUUGUGGAGAGGUAAGUGGAAUUCCGAGUGUAGAGGUGAAAUUCGUAGAUAUUCGGAAGAACACCAGUGGCGAAGGCGACUUACUGGACAGAUAUUGACGCUGAGGUGCGAAAGCGUGGGGAGCAAACAGG